CAGUCGCCGCGGUAAUACGAAGGGUGCAAGCGUUACUCGGAAUUACUGGGCGUAAAGCGUGCGUAGGCGGCUUCUUAAGUCGGAUGUGAAAUCCCUGAGCUUAACUUAGGAAUUGCAUUCGAUACUGGGAAGCUAGAGUAUGGGAGAGGAUGGUAGAAUUCCUGGUGUAGCGGUGAAAUGCGUAGAGAUCUGGAGGAAUACCGAUGGCGAAGGCAGCCAUCUGGCCUAAUACUGACGCUGAGGUACGAAAGCAUGGGGAGCAAACAGGAUUAGAUACCCCCGUAGUCCCUGUCUCUUAUAC
Molecule: ribosomal RNA, 301 nt
Filed under: uncultured bacterium
Lineage: Bacteria
Description: partial 16S ribosomal RNA
Rfam family: Bacterial small subunit ribosomal RNA
Source: RNAcentral